CGUACACUCCUACGGGAGGCAGCAGUGGGGAAUAUUGGACAAUGGGCGCAAGCCUGAUCCAGCCAUGCCGCGUGAGUGAUGAAGGCCCUAGGGUUGUAAAGCUCUUUUGUGCGGGAAGAUAAUGACGGUACCGCAAGAAUAAGCCCCGGCUAACUUCGUGCCAGCAGCCGCGGUAAUACGAAGGGGGCUAGCGUUGCUCGGAAUCACUGGGCGUAAAGGGUGCGUAGGCGGGUCUUUAAGUCAGGGGUGAAAUCCUGGAGCUCAACUCCAGAACUGCCUUUGAUACUGAAGAUCUUGAGUUCGGGAGAGGUGAGUGGAACUGCGAGUGUAGAGGUGAAAUUCGUAGAUAUUCGCAAGAACACCAGUGGCGAAGGCGGCUCACUGGCCCGAUACUGACGCUGAGGCACGAAAGCGUGGGGAGCAAACAGGAUUAGAAACCCUAGUAGUCCCAUGAU
Molecule: ribosomal RNA, 455 nt
Filed under: uncultured organism
Description: partial 16S ribosomal RNA
Rfam family: Bacterial small subunit ribosomal RNA
Source: RNAcentral